GUUUCGUUUACUGAAAGAGGAAGUAUCCAGGGAAGAAGUGUUUCACAUCAGAGCUGAAUCCAAGAAGGAAAUAAAACAGUGAAGUUAAUCUCUUCAGCAUCAGCUCCAGAUGAAGUGGACAGAGUUGACCCAGAGGAAUAUAUGGUAAACAAAAGAAAAUAAGGACAAACAAGGAACACAAUAGUCCAGGCAUAGCAGGAAAGUGAAGAGGAGGCCAGGGAUGGGAACUGGAGUGGAUGGCAGCCUGCCAGAUACACCCAGCCACAAUGGUAUUACCAAUCUUUAUGAUGAUGGGACAACAACCAUCCUAAGCAAUGUCUUGGAAAAGGAUCCUUUCCCUAUUAGAACUGGAGUCAAGCAAGGAUGUGUGAUUCCUCCAAAACUCUUUUUCCCUCUAUAUCAGUUAUUCUGUAUCAUAUUGCUGACAAAAUUCUAUCUGGAGUCAGAAUCCAGUACUGGAUGGACAGGAAUCUUUUUAACAUCAACUGAUUAUGUUCCAAAUACAGGAUAACUAACACCUCUAUUAAUGUUUUUCAAAAUAUUAAUUGUUGUGUCAUGUGCUCACUCAAUUGAAUUGUUCCAGGUCACUUGAUUGUUUAUCUGAAAUAUAUUAAAUUCUUGGACUUAC
Alligator mississippiensis (American alligator) is the source of this 628-nucleotide long non-coding RNA. RefSeq lists it as uncharacterized. The record is from RefSeq and is a predicted model, not a curated record. NCBI's taxonomy places the organism in Eukaryota, Metazoa, Chordata, Crocodylia, Alligatoridae. The transcript has 3 exons.